RNAcentral lists this long non-coding RNA (941 nucleotides) under Zea mays. RNAcentral's name for it is "long non-coding RNA (ZMAY_LNC003758)". The record is from RNAcentral. Lineage: Eukaryota; Viridiplantae; Streptophyta; Magnoliopsida; Poales; Poaceae.
UAGUCCAUCUUGGCAAAGCUUGGAGCCUAGUCGGCAAUGUCUUGCUUUGAAUGCUAAUGGACUGAUAUCAAGUGGCUCUCUAACGAUUCUGGGCUUCAAUGAAAUGGGGCUCAGAUCAGUAGGGAUGAGACAUUGCGAGCUCAUUUCAUGUCCAAUCUAUUGGGUUUAAUAUGUUCUGUCUUCAGCAGUUGAACCAGUGUCGUGUCAACCACACUAGACACACUAGACUUAAUCCAUCUUGGCAAAGCUCGGAGCCUAGUCCGCAAUGUCUUGCUUUGAAUGCUAAUGGACUGAUACCAAGUGUCUCUCUAACGGUUCUGGGCUUCAAUGAAAUGGGGCUCAGAUCAGUAGGGAUGAGACAUUGCGAGCUCAUUUCAUGUCCAAUCUAGGACUUACCUCUGGCUGCUUGGAUUGGAUAUUGUAUUGGUGUUGAUAGGAUUUAUCAUUCUAUUACUUUUUUGUUGCACAGCUGAACUGCUUGUCAACGGUGAGAUUGUUCAGAGGCCUCCUGAGAGGCAGAGAAGGGUCGAGCCCGUGCCACAGAGGGCUGCAGACAGGCCUAGGUACAAUGACAGGACCCGCUACGCACGCAGGAGGGAGAACCAGCGAUGAGAUGAAAAAAGUCCACAAUAACAAGUUCAGGUGGUUUGAGCUCUGUAAUUCAAGGAUAGUGUGCUUUGGAUGUAUUGUACUCUGUAACUACAGUUACUCAGAUUGCUCAAAGGACCUGGUUUGGAAUGCAUGCACUGUUACUAGCGCCCGUUUGCACAUGUAAAAUUUCUUUAUGGAAGCUGCUUAAUUGACUAUGAAGGCCUAACAUUAGGUAUUUCAUUCAUUGCCAACAGCUUAUCCAUCCCUAUCUCUAUUUGAAGUUCAAUUUACGAGCAGUGUAGUUUACAGAUGACUAUAUAGAUGAACUAAUGGAUAUGGUUUUAUGCUUA